This 75-nucleotide small RNA is filed under the name Xanthomonas campestris pv. campestris. RNAcentral's name for it is "sX9 sRNA". It matches the Rfam family "Xanthomonas sRNA sX9". Lineage: Bacteria; Pseudomonadati; Pseudomonadota; Gammaproteobacteria; Lysobacterales; Lysobacteraceae. The record is from RNAcentral.
AUGUGCCCGCGGACACUCCGGUUCCUCCGCGUCGUCCGCACCAACCUGACGAUUAACCAUUCCGCUGUGUUCGCG